This 253-nucleotide ribosomal RNA is filed under the name uncultured bacterium. RNAcentral's name for it is "partial 16S ribosomal RNA". It matches the Rfam family "Bacterial small subunit ribosomal RNA", at positions 524 to 776 of the family's 1533-position model. The record is from RNAcentral.
GACGAGCCACACAAACGUUAUUCGGAAUUACUGGGCUUAAAGGGUGCGUAGGCGGCGCGGAAAGUUAGGUGUGAAAUCCCUCGGCUCAACCGAGGAAUUGCGCUCAAAACUACCGUGCUCGAGGGAGAUAGUGGAGUGCGGAACUUACGGUGGAGCGGUGAAAUGCGUUGAUAUCGUAGGGAACACCGGUGGCGAAAGCGGCACUCUGGAUCUCAUCUGACGCUGAUGCACGAAAGCUAGGGUAGCAAACGGG